GGGACCAGGCACUCCCUAUUCUUUGUGCCAAGAUGGUCUGGGGCAGGAUGGUGGCACAGAGAAGGUUAUGGGCAGCCAGGCAUACUGCGCUGGAGUGCAG
Long non-coding RNA from Sapajus apella (tufted capuchin), 100 nucleotides. RefSeq lists it as uncharacterized. Lineage: Eukaryota; Metazoa; Chordata; Mammalia; Primates; Cebidae. The transcript is spliced from 3 exons. The record is from RefSeq and is a predicted model, not a curated record.